Molecule: unclassified non-coding RNA, 462 nt
Filed under: uncultured Russula
Lineage: Eukaryota; Fungi; Basidiomycota; Agaricomycetes; Russulales; Russulaceae
Description: sequence contains ITS2
Rfam family: 5.8S ribosomal RNA (bases 1-154)
Source: RNAcentral
AACUUUCGGCAAUGGAUCUCUUGGCUCUCGCAUCGAUGAAGAACGCAGCGAAAUGCGAUACGUACUGUGCAUUGCAGAAUUCAGUGAAUCAUCGAAUCUUUGAACGCACCUUGCGCCCCUUGGCAUUCUGAGGGGCACACCCGUUUGAGUGUCGUGAAAUUCUCAAAACCUUUUCCUUUGUCGGAAAGGAUUUUGGACUUGGUGGCCUUUUGCUGGUUUCACCUCGAAGCGAGCUCCUCCCAAAUGGAUUAGUGGGGUCUGCUUUGCCGAUCCUUGACGUGAUAAGAUGCUUCUACGUCUCGGGUUUUGGCACUGUGCCUCUGCUUCUAACCGUCUCAUUGACAACGAUGGUGUUCCGGUCACCGCCGAUUCGUCGGUGGGAGGCUUGACCCACAAAACGACCUUGACCUCAAAUCGGGUGAGACUACCCGCUGAACUUAAGCAUAUCAAUAAGCGGAGGCU